UGGGGAAUAUUGCGCAAUGGGCGAAAGCCUGACGCAGCGACGCCGCGUGAGGGACGAAGGCCUUCGGGUCGUAAACCUCUUUCAGCAGGGAAGAAGCGCAAGUGACGGUACCUGCAGAAGAAGCACCGGCUAACUACGUGCCAGCAGCCGCGGUAAUACGUAGGGUGCAAGCGUUGUCCGGAAUUAUUGGGCGUAAAGAGCUCGUAGGCGGCUUGUCACGUCUGCUGUGAAAACUCGGGGCUCAACCCCGAGCCUGCAGUGGAUACGGGCUAGCUAGAGUGCGGUAGGGGAGACUGGAAUUCCUGGUGUAGCGGUGAAAUGCGCAGAUAUCAGGAGGAACACCGGUGGCGAAGGCGGGUCUCUGGACCGAUACUGACGCUGAGGAGCGAAAGCGUGGGGAGCGAACAGGAUUAGAUACCCCCGUAGUCC
Molecule: ribosomal RNA, 429 nt
Filed under: uncultured bacterium
Lineage: Bacteria
Description: bacterial SSU rRNA
Rfam family: Bacterial small subunit ribosomal RNA
Source: RNAcentral